RNAcentral lists this ribosomal RNA (492 nucleotides) under uncultured bacterium. Its description in RNAcentral is "partial 16S ribosomal RNA". It matches the Rfam family "Bacterial small subunit ribosomal RNA", at positions 29 to 507 of the family's 1533-position model. The record is from RNAcentral.
AGUAAACGCGGGGGGUAGGCAUAACACAUGCAAGUAGAACUGCAGCCUAGUAAGCGUUUGCUCUAACGGGAGGAGCGGGGCGUACCGGUGCAGAAAACACCGGAUUCUACCUUUUCGUGGGGGAUCACGUAGGGAAACAUACGCUCAUAUCGCAUACAUCCUACGUGUGGAAGCACAGGAUCUUAGCACCUUGCGCGAACGGAUGCGCCGAUGUCGGAUUAACUAGUUAGCGGGGUAAAGGCCCACCAAGGCGACGAUCCGUAGCUGGUAUGAGAGGAUGAUCAGCCACACUGGAACUCAGACACGGUCCAGACUCCUACGGGAGGCAGCAGUGGGGAAUAUUGGACAAUGGGCGCAAGCCUGAUCCAGCCAUACCGCGUGGGUGAAGAAGGCCUUCGGGUUGUAAAGCCCUUUUGUUGGGAAAGAAAAGCAGCAGGUUAAUACCCCGCUGUUCUGACGGUACCCAAAGAAUAAGCACCGGCUAACUUCGUG